Molecule: long non-coding RNA, 2193 nt
Organism: Neopelma chrysocephalum (saffron-crested tyrant-manakin)
Lineage: Eukaryota; Metazoa; Chordata; Aves; Passeriformes; Pipridae
Exons: 7
Source: RefSeq, a predicted model, not a curated record
UUCUGGAGAGUUUAUGUGGGGAGGAAGAGGGGUAGGGCUGAACAUUGUUUCCUAAUGUGUGUGCAGGGCUGGAAGGGAGGAAUUUGACAGAAGUCCCACUGGAAGAUAUUGUAGUAUCUGGAGGCAUUCAUCAAACACAUCCUUCUCCCCACUGCUUCCUUUUAGGAGGGAAUUAUGGACUGUGAAUCUCAAUUUGAGAGAGAUACAAUGGGUAUUUAUUCUUUUGGAUGAGAAAAGUUGCUAUUAGCCCCCUGACAUGAAAAUACUUCUGGUGAUACAAGGCUUGUGUCCUUGCUUCUGCACUUUUGUUUGAUCAGGUGGAAGAAUGCUACCAGAGGUACACACAUGCAGGGAAGGGCAGCUAACAUCACACAGAUUGCCUGUACCCAAGGUGGAUAAACUUUCUCCUCUUUCAUGGGGAAGCUUUCCUAUGGAGACAAAAAAAAACAAGAGAAAGAAAUAAUUGGUAUGGAAAGUCUGAGAGACAUUUCACUUCAACACUUCUCAGCAUUACACACACCUAUAACAAAUAUGGAGCACAUAGUAUGUGGGACACCUCAAGAAGAGACACAUUUUAGUAUGUGUAACCUCUUUGCAUACUGAAGCCUUCUCAUUCUGAGCACUACAUCACUUCAGGCUGCAUUCCAUAGACAUACACAACUCCAAUUACUUCAAAGAAAGCAAUGACUAGAAGAGGCACUGAGGCUGCAUAUCUGUCAAAAAUGUCAAUCCAGUAACUCCCUGAACCCAGUGUAAAACACAGAGCAAUGAGGAAGCUAAUUAGACAUAUUAUACCUGAAGAAAAAAAGAUAUCUUUGUUACUGGAUUAUUGAACUUGGAUUACCUGUUGGAAGCAGUUAUGGUACCUGAUCAAGAAAUUCUUGAAGGUCACAGCUCUUCAGUUUGAGUCCAGCAAUUUUUUCUGGAUGUGAUGAAUUCAGGAAACUAAUCCAGGAGUCCUGCAGGACAACUUGUGUGUCUUCUGUAUUUAUCUGAUCCUGGUAUAUGACUGGGAACAUUUGCAGGAGUGAGAGAUUUUACAAGUAUCUUCAGAAAAAAAAAUGUGCUGAUGCCAGAAACAUGCAGAUGAAGAUAUACAACCAGAAUGUCAAUGAAUGAACAUGGGAGUAAUGAGGAAAGGAAGUAUAAUUGCUACCCCAUGGGUGGUAAGAUUUUUGGAUACUGGAACACAUAAAACACAGACAGAAAUUUUCUUAAAACAGAAUUAAAAAUUACUGGGGUCCCUGUGAUGUGUAAAAACUGAUGCUUUUCUCAGAAGGCCAACAAGUAACACUGUGCUUAAAGGCAGCAUUUCAUUAGGGCAGUGCUUUUGCUCUCCUUAAUACCAGAAACAGUAUGGACAGUCUAGGUACCUUGAAAGAAGCUUUAAGUGUCCAUGCAUAGUAAUACAUCAUAACUGCAAAACAGAGGAAAAAGUUACAAAUUGCCUCUGUGGAUAGAGGAUUUGGUGCCUCUGCUGCCUUUUUCUUUUUCUUGGCUAUUCUCACUGCUUGUUAAAUAGCUGCAGAGCUCUGGGCACAGGCAUCAGUUGCCCAACCAAGUUCUUGGAAUUGUUCAUUGCCAAACCUCCAAAUAUUUACAGUCUCUGAAGCUCUUUUAAAUGUGAAAGAGACUGGACAAGGAGACAUUUGUUUUCCUGAUCUUGCACAGAUGUCCACUGAAGGUGUGCCGUGCAGACUGUUGCUGAUGCUUGAUGGGAUCUCUUUUCUGCUGCCUCUCAUUAUUUAUGUUUUCAAAAACCUUUCCAAAAGUCUGUUCCAGCUCCUGUGUUUCUUCAACUUUGACAACUUCUGCUUUCCCUUCAAGUGUCUGUGAACAUCAUUUCAGUCUUUUUUAUUUUCUUGGCAGUUUCAUUUUCCAGGUAGCCAAGAGUUUAGAAAGAGUGAGUGAAUUGUCAGACUUUUCCACGUCUGAAAGUCAAUGAAAAGAAGUAUUCAUUAUUUGUUCUAAAAUUUAGGGUGUGGAAGUAAGUCAGAUGGCAAAAAGCCUAUGUAUUUCUGCAUAGCCUGCCACAUUUAAAAUCCAUAUGCAUGCAGUUGUUAUUUGUGAUAUUUUUUAAUGAGAAGUGAAAUACAAACUUAGAAAGUGAAUAAACUUAAACAGUGGUAGUUUGGAAAAAAAAAUUCAUUUGGGUGAUUAUGAUCCUGAAACUGAGUAAGAUACAACUUUUAG